GAGGCACCAGCCCCACAGCUACAAUUACCAGCCCCACAGCCCGAGAUGUUGCCAGCUUCCCAUCUAUGGUUACCAGUCCGACGGGCCGAGGAGUGUCCAGCCCCACAGCACGAGGAGUUGCCAGCCCAACUUGUGAAGCCAUGUUCACUAAAAUUCUAACAGUUUUAGAAGAAGUGAAGGAGACACAACGUGUUCAUGGAAAGAUGUUGAAUGUCCUGCUGAAAAAGCAAGACGGAUCAAUGGUAGAGGUUCCUGAAGGAGUGGUCUUACCUCUGAAAACCCAGGCUGACCUUGAGGCUCUUGAUUAGAAGCUGGGGGAUCGUAGUGUCAUGUCUGCUGUUGUUGCCAUGGUGGCAGAUGUGGGCGGCACAAGUAUAGAUGACGCAACGAGAAGAAUGAUGAAAUACAUCUUUUCAAAUGAGCUGGCAUUGGAGUACAAUUUGUUUGGCCAUCAUGGGAAAAAAAAGUUUAAAGAUUUGCGUAUUUUCAACAUUGUGUAUGAGGCUCUUAAGAACAACCCCCUGACAUCAAAGGUCAACCAGCAAGAAGCUGAGAGGGCACUGUCAAAAUGGUUCACUGGAGCAAGAGACAGAGGAGGACAAAGGGCAUCAAGAAUACACCAAAAGAUGGCUGCAGUUAAAAUUUUACUGAAAAGGUUAUAAGGUUAUAAGUUGCUGCAUCUAGCUGUUGUAGUUCUUGUAUUUUUUUUUCUGACGAUCGUGUUCUCAAAUUUGGUGGGUUGGCAGCUUUCCCAAACACUCAUGGCUGGUUCUAAAAUA
This is a long non-coding RNA of Cyprinus carpio (common carp), 779 nucleotides long. The record is from Ensembl. Lineage: Eukaryota; Metazoa; Chordata; Actinopteri; Cypriniformes; Cyprinidae.